Molecule: ribosomal RNA, 253 nt
Filed under: uncultured bacterium
Lineage: Bacteria
Description: partial 16S ribosomal RNA
Rfam family: Bacterial small subunit ribosomal RNA
Source: RNAcentral
UACGUAGGGGGCAAGCGUUGUCCGGAAUCAUUGGGCGUAAAGCGCGUGUAGGCGGCUCGGUAAGUCCGCUCUGAAAGUCCAGGGCUCAACCCUGGGAUGCGGGUGGAUACUGCCGGGCUCGAGUCCGGAAGAGGCGAGUGGAAUUCCUGGUGUAGCGGUGAAAUGCGCAGAUAUCAGGAGGAACACCAAUGGCGAAGGCAGCUCGCUGGGACGGUACUGACACUGAGACGCGAAAGCGUGGGGAGCAAACAGG